UUAUUUUCAUAUAGAUGCUGGAGUCAAAUUCUUCAUGCUUAGCUUAAAGAAAUGUACCAUUUACCAAAUGUAUUGAGGGUUAAUGGUACAUAUUUGUAUUUUCAUUUAUCGAUCAUUACUACUAACCCUUCAGGUGUAUUGUACAUUUUUUCAUUCAUGUUUACAAAAAUGUACUACAUAUAAUAAACUUGUUUGUGGUUAUAUGAAUUUCAUGUUUUAUAUUAAACUUUGUAUUAGAGAAC
This 242-nucleotide long non-coding RNA is filed under the name Lupinus angustifolius (narrow-leaved blue lupine). RNAcentral's name for it is "long non-coding RNA (LANG_LNC001501)". The record is from RNAcentral. Lineage: Eukaryota; Viridiplantae; Streptophyta; Magnoliopsida; Fabales; Fabaceae.